UGCAAAUGAUGUUUUUCUCACGAUGGUCUUCCUAGCCUGUGAGGCUCUGACGACACUGCCUAAUGGUAACACUGAUGCAGUGUA
This is a small nucleolar RNA of Hucho hucho (huchen), 84 nucleotides long. NCBI's taxonomy places the organism in Eukaryota, Metazoa, Chordata, Actinopteri, Salmoniformes, Salmonidae. The record is from Ensembl.